RNAcentral lists this transfer-messenger RNA (353 nucleotides) under Syntrophorhabdaceae. RNAcentral's name for it is "Syntrophorhabdus sp002067585 Standard tmRNA". It matches the Rfam family "transfer-messenger RNA". Rfam says of the family: Bacterial tmRNA, also known as 10Sa RNA or SsrA, is named for its dual tRNA and mRNA-like properties. The record is from RNAcentral. Lineage: Bacteria; Pseudomonadati; Thermodesulfobacteriota; Syntrophorhabdia; Syntrophorhabdales. RNAcentral also lists the same sequence under 2 other names.
GGGGGCGAUAGGUCUCGACAGGGAAGUUAAGGGCCAGGGAGGCAUGCCGGGGUUACUACUUACCCGAAAACAAGUGGAACUAAACAUAACUGCAGACUCUCACGAGUACGCACUGGCAGCUUAGAGCCGCCACGUCAUCUGGACUCUCUGCCCGCUUUGAGUCCAACAUGGCGUCAUAGAAGCGGGAUAGCCCUUCUGGACGCCCAUGCAGGAGGGUGAAUCUGAAUGGGCUGGGAUCAAUGAUAACCUGUCGGUAGGUGAUCUCUGAUCUGAGAUUAAUAUACCGACUAAGCAUGUAGUCUUUCUGUAUUCUUCUUCUUUGGACGCGGGUUCGAUUCCCGCCGCCUCCACCA